UGGUGGGUGCCCCCUUGCAGUAGUCAGGAACAGGAGAGAGAAGAGGUCCUUCACUGCUUGGAAAGCCUCUGGUAUCGAAAGGACUGUCAGACCGCUGGCACUGUGGCAGCUUUUGGCAGUUGGCGGAGGGUUCUGCACUGGACUCAACACCCUAGGCAACGGUGCCAUCUCUGGCUCAGGGAGGAAAAGUGGCCCAACACAGGUCUCACUGUAAUGGCAUCUCCCUGCUUGUCCUUUCUCUGCACUGGAGGGAAAUUGGUGCUCAUUCACAGAACAAUACAACAAAUUCUUAAACGGAGGAUUGCAACAAUCAGCUUAAAAUCUAUCGCAUAAAUGAAGGGAAGUACAUGUGAAAUCUGUGGACAACCUACAUCCUUCAAAAGAAGCUAGCACAAAAAUUGGUUUCAAAAACCUCUUUAAACCCUCUGCAGCUCAAAGCAUGCUCCAUGCCAUAACUUCUCAGUCUGUGACAUCAGAAAAACAUCCACAAGAUUAUGACUUCAGCUGUGGAAUAAACACAUGAAAC
Long non-coding RNA from Mauremys reevesii (Reeves's turtle), 526 nucleotides. RefSeq lists it as uncharacterized. NCBI's taxonomy places the organism in Eukaryota, Metazoa, Chordata, Testudines, Geoemydidae. The transcript is spliced from 3 exons. The record is from RefSeq and is a predicted model, not a curated record.